Molecule: transfer RNA, 73 nt
Filed under: Ruminococcaceae bacterium D16
Lineage: Bacteria; Bacillati; Bacillota; Clostridia; Eubacteriales; Oscillospiraceae
Also listed under: 3 other names
Rfam family: tRNA
About the family: Transfer RNA (tRNA) molecules are approximately 80 nucleotides in length. Their secondary structure includes four short double-helical elements and three loops (D, anti-codon, and T loops).
Source: Rfam by way of RNAcentral
GACCCAGUAGCUCAGUCGGCAGAGCACCUGCCUUUUAAGCAGGGUGUCCGGAGUUCGAAUCUCCGCUGGGUCA